UACGUAGGGGGCUAGCGUUGUCCGGAAUCAUUGGGCGUAAAGAGCGUGUAGGCGGCCAGGUAGGUCCGCUGUGAAAACUCGAGGCUCAACCUCGAGAUGUCGGCGGAAACCAUCUGGCUAGAGUCCGGAAGAGGAGAGUGGAAUUCUUGGUGUAGCGGUGAAAUGCGUAGAUAUCAAGAGGAAUACCUGAGGUGAAGACGGGUUGCUAGGCCGACACUGACGCUGAAGCGCGAAAGCCAGGGGAGCAAACGGG
RNAcentral lists this ribosomal RNA (253 nucleotides) under uncultured bacterium. RNAcentral's name for it is "partial 16S ribosomal RNA". It matches the Rfam family "Bacterial small subunit ribosomal RNA", at positions 524 to 776 of the family's 1533-position model. The record is from RNAcentral.